Molecule: ribosomal RNA, 462 nt
Filed under: uncultured bacterium
Lineage: Bacteria
Description: bacterial SSU rRNA
Rfam family: Bacterial small subunit ribosomal RNA
Source: RNAcentral
CAGUAGUCACGAGUUUGAUCCUGGCUCAGAACGAACGCUGGCGGCAUGCCUAACACAUGCAAGUCGAACGAGACCUUCGGGUCUAGUGGCGCACGGGUGCGUAACGCGUGGGAACCUGCCUUUAGGUUCGGAAUAACUCAGAGAAAUUUGAGCUAAUACCGGAUAAUGUCUUCGGACCAAAGAUUUAUCGCCUUUAGAUGGGCCCGCGUUGGAUUAGCUAGUUGGUGGGGUAAAGGCCUACCAAGGCGACGAUCCGUAGCUGGUCUGAGAGGAUGAUCAGCCACACUGGGACUGAGACACGGCCCAGACUCCUACGGGAGGCAGCAGUGGGGAAUAUUGGACAAUGGGCGAAAGCCUGAUCCAGCAAUGCCGCGUGAGUGAUGAAGGCCUUAGGGUUGUAAAGCUCUUUUACCCGAGAUGAUAAUGACAGUAUCGGGAGAAUAAGCUCCGGCUAACUCCGUG